Molecule: ribosomal RNA, 495 nt
Filed under: uncultured bacterium
Lineage: Bacteria
Description: partial 16S ribosomal RNA
Rfam family: Bacterial small subunit ribosomal RNA
Source: RNAcentral
GACGAACGCUGGCGGCGUGCCUAAUACAUGCAAGUAGAACGCUGAAGGCGGAGCUUGCUUCUCUGGAUGAGUUGCGAACGGGUGAGUAACGCGUAGGUAACCUGCCUGGUAGCGGGGGAUAACUAUUGGAAACGAUAGCUAAUACCGCAUAAUAGUAGAUGUUGCAUGACAUUUGCUUAAAAGGUGCAAUUGCAUCACUACCAGAUGGACCUGCGUUGUAUUAGCUAGUUGGUGGGGUAACGGCUCACCAAGGCGACGAUACAUAGCCGACCUGAGAGGGGGAACGGCCACACUGGGACUGAGACACGGCCCAGACUCCUACGGGAGGCAGCAGUAGGGAAUCUUCGGCAAUGGACGGAAGUCUGACCGAGCAACGCCGCGGGAGUGAAGAAGGUUUUCGGAUCGUAAAGCUCUGUUGUAAGAGAAGAACGAGUGUGAGAGUGGAAAGUUCACACUGUGACGGUAUCUUACCAGAAAGGGACGGCUAACUACGUG